GCCUGGGUGGCUCAGUCAGUUAAGCGUCUGACUUUAGCUCAGGUCAUGAUCUCACAGGUCAUGGGUUCGAGCCCCGUGUCGGGCU
Molecule: transfer RNA, 85 nt
Organism: Felis catus (domestic cat)
Lineage: Eukaryota; Metazoa; Chordata; Mammalia; Carnivora; Felidae
Rfam family: tRNA
About the family: Transfer RNA (tRNA) molecules are approximately 80 nucleotides in length. Their secondary structure includes four short double-helical elements and three loops (D, anti-codon, and T loops).
Source: Rfam